AACCCAUGGUGUGGACAUUGUAUCAAGAGGCCUUUAAACGCUCCCAACACUCAUUGAAAGGUUCUCCAUCAUCUUGUUUGAAGUUGAAGAUUUGUCCCCUUAAUGUGGCU
This is a small nucleolar RNA of Pyrus x bretschneideri (Chinese white pear), 110 nucleotides long. The record is from RefSeq and is a predicted model, not a curated record. NCBI's taxonomy places the organism in Eukaryota, Viridiplantae, Streptophyta, Magnoliopsida, Rosales, Rosaceae.